Molecule: long non-coding RNA, 747 nt
Filed under: Drosophila guanche
Lineage: Eukaryota; Metazoa; Arthropoda; Insecta; Diptera; Drosophilidae
Source: RNAcentral
GUCAGAGAUUUAUGGGAUUAGAAAGGGUAAACAUAUACUGAGAGAGCUGAGAUUCCACUGCAUGCCAACGCCCUGGCAUCGGUUUAUCUUUUUGUGUGCUGUCUGGCUGCGGUUGCAGCUGCAUCUUCGGCUUGUUGUGGCAUUAAGAGAGUCGUUGAUCUUGCUGCUGUAGUGCCAUGUGUUGGCAGCUUGGCUCUAAUUGAAAUAUUUUUAUUGCCAUGGCCAAGACCCCCCGCCGGGCUGCGUGCUGUCAUUAAUAUUCAUUAGUUGCCGCAAACGCAUUAGCAGAUUGCAGCCAACAGUCCGAUAAACAUGGACAAACAGCUGGCUGCCUAAUGCCUUCAACUUGUCCCCAAAACCGAGCCGAGAACAAAACAUUUUAUUUGCGGAAGUCAUUAGGUGGUGCAACGUCUUGGCUCAGCUCGGCUCAGUCUUGGAGUCUUGGAGUCUUGGUCUCUGAUUGCGCUUUACGGUGGCUAUGCAAAUUUGUUGUCGCCUCUUGCCGGGCAGCAAAUGAAGUUGAAGCAAAAAGGCGACGUUGCAACAAUGAGCGGCGGCUUGCUUUUACGGCUCUGCGGUGGCAUUUGGCUUCCGGCUUAAUUUAGCAAACGUUUGCGACUUUAUUUUUGACAGUCACAGAGGACAGCAGGCAGUGGCUUCAGGCUGCCAAAUGCAACUAAAGACAUCAGUGGACUUCCACUGCCAAAGGCAAGUUUGGGAAUUGUUUUGCAAGGUUUUCAAAUUAAU